This 328-nucleotide long non-coding RNA is filed under the name Carica papaya (papaya). Its description in RNAcentral is "long non-coding RNA (CPAP_LNC005769)". Lineage: Eukaryota; Viridiplantae; Streptophyta; Magnoliopsida; Brassicales; Caricaceae. The record is from RNAcentral.
AGGAAAUAGAGUUUACACAUCUGGUUUAGGGUGACAUGACUGUAUCAGAAUAUACUCGGAAGUUCUUAGAGUUAGAUAGGUAUUCCCCCAAGAGCGUGAUGGAUGAAGGCAGGAAUGCAAGAAGGUUCGAAUGGGGUCUCCGUCCUGAGAUCAGAUAGCAGUUGUAUGUGUUCAAACUCAGCACUUACUCGGUUGUUCUGGCCAAGGCACAGUUAGUGGAGAUGAACCUUUGCAUUUUUUCUCCAGCAGUAGGGAACCUCAGGCCCUCGACUCUACACUGCAGACCAGCACCUACUGUACGUGUUCAAUAGAAUAAGAGACCUAGGUC